This 261-nucleotide long non-coding RNA is filed under the name Gossypium barbadense (sea-island cotton). Its description in RNAcentral is "long non-coding RNA (GBAR_LNC019017)". The record is from RNAcentral. Lineage: Eukaryota; Viridiplantae; Streptophyta; Magnoliopsida; Malvales; Malvaceae.
AAAAUUCUUUUGUUCCCAUCAACGCACAAUCAAAGAAUCAAGCAUGAGAGCCUCUUCUAUUUUCUCUUUGGUGGUCAAUUGGCAGUAAUGAUGAAUGUUCUUCAAAACUUUAAAAAUUUUGUGACGCUUCUGGGGAAAAGAUCAGUCUUAGCAAGCAGCAUCUAUAGGAUAAGCUGUUCUGGAUUUAUUUUACUUUCUUUUUUCACAAGACCUUGUGCCUUUGGUCUUCGGUCCGAACAUGCUCCUGUUCAAAGCCGGUCU